UGGGGAAUAUUGCACAAUGGGCGCAAGCCUGAUGCAGCCAUGCCGCGUGUGUGAAGAAGGCCUUCGGGUUGUAAAGCACUUUCAGCGGGGAGGAAGGCGUUAAGGUUAAUAACCUUGGCGAUUGACGUUACCCGCAGAAGAAGCACCGGCUAACUCCGUGCCAGCAGCCGCGGUAAUACGGAGGGUGCAAGCGUUAAUCGGAAUUACUGGGCGUAAAGCGCACGCAGGCGGUCUGUCAAGUCGGAUGUGAAAUCCCCGGGCUCAACCUGGGAACUGCAUUCGAAACUGGCAGGCUAGAGUCUUGUAGAGAGGGGUAGAAUUCCAGGUGUAGCGGGGAAAUGCGUAGAGAGCUGGAGGAAUACCGGUGGCGAAGGCGGCCCCCUGGACAAAGACUGACGCUCAGGUGCGAAAGCGUGGGGAGCAAACAGG
Molecule: ribosomal RNA, 429 nt
Filed under: Chloroflexota bacterium
Lineage: Bacteria; Bacillati; Chloroflexota
Description: Chloroflexi bacterium partial 16S ribosomal RNA
Rfam family: Bacterial small subunit ribosomal RNA
Source: RNAcentral